This 109-nucleotide small RNA is filed under the name Pseudomonas saudiphocaensis. The record is from RNAcentral. Lineage: Bacteria; Pseudomonadati; Pseudomonadota; Gammaproteobacteria; Pseudomonadales; Pseudomonadaceae.
CACCUCCGAAGCGCAGGAAGCGCUCGGAAUCAAGGAUGAGCGAGCACCGCCAGGACGGCCCCGAAAGGAUUUGGAAUGCUCAGAAAAAACCCGCUUCGGCGGGUUUUUU